RNAcentral lists this small nucleolar RNA (107 nucleotides) under Olea europaea subsp. europaea. Its description in RNAcentral is "Plant small nucleolar RNA R71". It matches the Rfam family "Plant small nucleolar RNA R71". Rfam says of the family: R71 is a member of the C/D box family of snoRNAs containing the C (UGAUGA) and D (CUGA) box motifs. Multiple nearly identical copies of this snoRNA have been identified in Arabidopsis, and it is thought to function as a 2'-O-ribose methylation guide for 18S ribosomal RNA. Lineage: Eukaryota; Viridiplantae; Streptophyta; Magnoliopsida; Lamiales; Oleaceae. The record is from Rfam by way of RNAcentral.
UAACCAUGCUGAGGACACCGUUUGAGCAAGUCUUUAAACCUUUCCCAAGCUUCAUAGAACGGUUCAAAAUCAAAUUGCCUGAAUUGACCUAAUUCACUUCUAAGUUG